Molecule: ribosomal RNA, 310 nt
Filed under: uncultured bacterium
Lineage: Bacteria
Description: partial 16S ribosomal RNA
Rfam family: Bacterial small subunit ribosomal RNA
Source: RNAcentral
AAGAGACAGCAGUAGCCGCGGUAAUACAGAGGGUGCGAGCGUUAAUCGGAUUUACUGGGCGUAAAGCGCGCGUAGGCGGCUUCUUAAGUCGGAUGUGAAAUCCCUGAGCUUAACUUAGGAAUUGCAUUCGAUACUGGGAAGCUAGAGUAUGGGAGAGGAUGGUAGAAUUCCAGGUGUAGCGGUGAAAUGCGUAGAGAUCUGGAGGAAUACCGAUGGCGAAGGCAGCCAUCUGGCCUAAUACUGACGCUGAGGUACGAAAGCAUGGGGAGCAAACAGGAUUAGAUACCCCUGUAGUCCCUGUCUCUUAUAA